Molecule: ribosomal RNA, 253 nt
Filed under: uncultured bacterium
Lineage: Bacteria
Description: partial 16S ribosomal RNA
Rfam family: Bacterial small subunit ribosomal RNA
Source: RNAcentral
UACAGAGGGUGCGAGCGUUAAUCGGAAUUACUGGGCGUAAAGCGUGCGUAGACGGCUAUCUAAGUCGGGUGUGAAAGCCCCGGGCUCAACCUGGGAAUUGCAUUCGAGACUGAAUAGCUAGGGUGCGGUAGAGGGAAGCGGAAUUUCCGGUGUAGCGGUGAAAUGCGUAGAGAUGGAGAGGAACACCGAUGGCGAAGGCAGCCCUCUGGGCCAACACUGACGCUCAGGCACGAAAGCGUGGGGAGCAAACAGG